RNAcentral lists this non-coding RNA (160 nucleotides) under uncultured Prevotella sp. Lineage: Bacteria; Pseudomonadati; Bacteroidota; Bacteroidia; Bacteroidales; Prevotellaceae. The record is from RNAcentral.
UGGUGGCCGAUGCCACCAUGAUGAAAGGGAAUCCGGUGAAAGUCCGGAACUGUUCCUGCAGCUGUAAUCCUCGUUAAAGAGGUCUGUAUGUAUAACGCCACUGACCAUAAGUCGGGAAGGUAAUGCAGACUGAGGAAAGUCAGAAGACCUGCCAAUAGAA